AUUGAACGCCGGCGGCAUGCCUUACACAUGCAAGUCGAACGGCAGCGGGGGAGAAGCUUGCUUUUCCUGCCGGCGAGUGGCGAACGGGUGAGUAAUACAUCGGAACGUGCCCUGUAGUGGGGGAUAACUAGUCGAAAGAUUAGCUAAUACCGCAUACGACCUGAGGGUGAAAGUGGGGGACCGCAAGGCCUCAUGCUAUAGGAGCGGCCGAUGUCUGAUUAGCUAGUUGGUGGGGUAAAGGCCUACCAAGGCGACGAUCAGUAGCUGGUCUGAGAGGACGAUCAGCCACAUUGGGACUGAGACACGGCCCAGACUCCUACGGGAGGCAGCAGUGGGGAAUUUUGGACAAUGGGCGAAAGCCUGAUCCAGCAAUGCCGCGUGUGUGAAGAAGGCCUUCGGGUUGUAAAGCAUUUUUGUCCGGAAAGAAAUGGCUCUGGUUAAUACCUGGGGUCGAUGACGGUACCGGAAGAAUAAGGACCGGCUAACUACGUGCCAGCAGCCGCGGUAA
Molecule: ribosomal RNA, 508 nt
Filed under: uncultured bacterium
Lineage: Bacteria
Description: partial 16S ribosomal RNA
Rfam family: Bacterial small subunit ribosomal RNA
Source: RNAcentral